Molecule: long non-coding RNA, 434 nt
Filed under: Zonotrichia albicollis (white-throated sparrow)
Lineage: Eukaryota; Metazoa; Chordata; Aves; Passeriformes; Passerellidae
Description: lncRNA (ENSZALG00000007288.1)
Source: RNAcentral
GGUGUGGAAGAGAUGUCAAAAAAUGAACUCCGUACAUGAAGAGAGAAGCAAACAUGUCCUCGGUGUCUCUCAUUCUCUUCUAGUGUGGCUGGCUGCUGAACUGGCUUUGGUUCUGAUUGUGACCCUCUUUGGCUCAUGGCAUGCUGGCCUGGCAAUACUAUGUAAAUUGGCUGCCUCUAGAGAUUUCUCCCAGCUGGUACUGCAGCACUCAUCCCAUGACCCAGCAUAUGCUUCUCCCUUGGACACCCAUUGCUUCUUUCCUGAAGCACAGUCUGAGCAAUCUCUGGAUCUGUGGAUUUCAGUUUGGAUAAAGAAGAUUGUUUCAGGCUGACUCCAGCUGAACCUGGGAGUGCUGAGACUGUGGCUACAAACAAUUGCAAAUGGAUUUUCCCUGCCUGGGUCGCUGUGGUUAUGGAGCAGCAGCCAGCCUAGAG